RNAcentral lists this ribosomal RNA (482 nucleotides) under uncultured bacterium. Its description in RNAcentral is "bacterial SSU rRNA". It matches the Rfam family "Bacterial small subunit ribosomal RNA", at positions 501 to 981 of the family's 1533-position model. The record is from RNAcentral.
CUACGUGCCAGCAGCCGCGGUAAUACGUAGGUCCCGAGCGUUGUCCGGAUUUAUUGGGCGUAAAGCGAGCGCAGGCGGUUAGAUAAGUCUGAAGUUAAAGGCUGUGGCUUAACCAUAGUACGCUUUGGAAACUGUUUAACUUGAGUGCAAGAGGGGAGAGUGGAAUUCCAUGUGUAGCGGUGAAAUGCGUAGAUAUAUGGAGGAACACCGGUGGCGAAGGCGGUUCUCUGGACCUUUCCUGACGCUGAGAAGCGAAAGCGUGGGGAGCGAACAGGCUUAGAUACCCUGGUAGUCCACGCUGUAAACGGUGGGUACUAGGUGUGGGGGACAUUCCACGUUCUCCGUGCCGUAGCUAACGCAUUAAGUACCCCGCCUGGGGAGUACGGCCGCAAGGCUAAAACUCAAAGGAAUUGACGGGGCCCCGCACAAGCGGCGGAGCAUGCGGAUUAAUUCGAUGCAACGCGAAGAACCUUACCUGGGUU